GAAAAAGGGACUUUUUUUUGUUGCUGAGUUUAUUUAUAUAAAUCAUGUAAUGUAGUCUUCGUUUUUCAUCUGCUAGCCAAGUUACAUAGCCUGUAAUGUUAGCUGAUAAUUGUUGUAUAAUUGUUGCUAUGAUUUAGCUAACGCUAGCUAGUUAAAGUUACUGUAACGUAUAGUAUGUCCUCAUUUAAACCCAUGAUACAGUCUCUCGCCAUCUCCUUCCAGCCUCCUCUCUUUAAGACCUGUCUUAUCAUGGGCCUGUCCAGUUAAGUUGUAGAGAGUGUGGGUGCUGUGAGAAACUCAGCCUCCACAAACAGCCUGUUCUGUCCUCAGUAUUUCAGACCAAAGCAAGACAAUGUUUAAAGCUGUGGAUCUACAAACAGGUAUCACACUACCCGGCAAUACAUGGAUGUGUGCACGGCACUCAUUCAAAAGUACUCCUCGUUGAGAGACCAGAUGGGGAAGGGAUAUGUAAGAAUUGUUACAUUUUCCGACUUACAUUAAUUCUCACACUAGUCACCUUUUUACACCAUUGUGCCUCCCCAGAUCAUGAUGUGCUGGCUUGGGUAUAUUCUUCUCACAUUGUUAAACCAUCACAUUUCCAACAGCAUAACAAGACCAUCUCUAGUUAUGUACGGUCCUAAAAUUCCGCCAUUACAUUUAUCAUGUACCCUUUACAGCAUGCAGCCGUUCUAAUUCUAUUGAUUCUAAUCCAGCCUUUUUAUUUCACAACCUCCAAUUGAAGUUCUCAAAGUCACUGCAGCCAUUUUCCCCCUCCCCUACCUCAAAGAUGAUCCAAGUGGGCUGAAUGUCACACGACAGUACAAAGUUAGUCGUUAUACAGUGUAAGGUGUGCUCAGUUGUUAACUUACGGUUUGAAAUAUGACUUGAGUAACCUUUAAUAUAUAUUUUUAAUUCCAUCACCUACCAUACCAUAAGGAUAGAGGGGAAUCCCUUUGCGAAUGAGAACCACGUCCAACUCUUCCUGGAUGGACAGGAGCUAAUAACUGAAGAGCCGGAGGACAUCUCCAUGGGGAUGGCAAUGGAGAUCCGUUUCCUUUUUAAAUUACAGCUAAUGUCAGGGUUAAUUCAACAAGAGAAAAGCUGCUAAAUAGACAGUUGAAAAUAAAAAGAAGAGAGAUGUAAUGUUUGAGAAAGAUUUGGUGAAGUGGUAACAGAGCACUGCAAGAAAUGCUUCAUUCUGCAGGAGUUAUUAUUAAGGCUAUGUGAAAGGAUAUAGACCGACAGUCAGUGUCCAGAUUUCAGUUAUCAUUUAACCUAUCUGAACAGUAGGUUACAGUUCCCAUGACGUGCCAUAGGACUAUUUGAAGUCCCAGUCAGUUGACUGUUGAAUUUCUAUAGCACAGGAGCUCUUCGGAGCCCUCUACAUUGUUAAAAAAUGUGUAUGGCGAAAUAGUAUGGAGCUCAAUUUGGCCUCUGCAUGCCUUCAGAGGCUCCACAAUUGCAUCAAACCCUCCAUAUGAAGCCUCCGACCACAUUUACG
This 1501-nucleotide long non-coding RNA is filed under the name Salmo salar (Atlantic salmon). Its description in RNAcentral is "lncRNA (ENSSSAG00000119560.1)". Lineage: Eukaryota; Metazoa; Chordata; Actinopteri; Salmoniformes; Salmonidae. The record is from RNAcentral.